AUUGAACGCUGGCGGCAUGCCUUACACAUGCAAGUCGAACGGUAACAGGUCUUCGGAUGCUGACGAGUGGCGAACGGGUGAGUAAUAUAUCGGAACGUGCCCAGUCGUGGGGGAUAACGCAGCGAAAGCUGUGCUAAUACCGCAUACGAUCUAUGGAUGAAAGCGGGGGAUCGCAAGACCUCGCGCGAUUGGAGCGGCCGAUAUCAGAUUAGCUAGUUGGUGGGGUAAAAGCUCACCAAGGCGACGAUCUGUAGCUGGUCUGAGAGGACGACCAGCCACACUGGAACUGAGACACGGUCCAGACUCCUACGGGAGGCAGCAGUGGGGAAUUUUGGACAAUGGGCGCAAGCCUGAUCCAGCAAUGCCGCGUGCAGGAUGAAGGCCUUCGGGUUGUAAACUGCUUUUGUACGGAACGAAACGGUGAGCUCUAAUAAAGCUUGCUAAUGACGGUACCGUAAGAAUAAGCACCGGCUAACU
This 477-nucleotide ribosomal RNA is filed under the name uncultured bacterium. Its description in RNAcentral is "bacterial SSU rRNA". It matches the Rfam family "Bacterial small subunit ribosomal RNA", at positions 30 to 502 of the family's 1533-position model. The record is from RNAcentral.